RNAcentral lists this ribosomal RNA (1015 nucleotides) under Janthinobacterium sp. CB 286358. RNAcentral's name for it is "bacterial SSU rRNA". It matches the Rfam family "Bacterial small subunit ribosomal RNA", at positions 56 to 1066 of the family's 1533-position model. The record is from RNAcentral. Lineage: Bacteria; Pseudomonadati; Pseudomonadota; Betaproteobacteria; Burkholderiales; Oxalobacteraceae.
UGCAGUCGAACGGCAGCACGGAGCUUGCUCUGGUGGCGAGUGGCGAACGGGUGAGUAAUAUAUCGGAACGUACCCUGGAGUGGGGGAUAACGUAGCGAAAGUUACGCUAAUACCGCAUACGAUCUAAGGAUGAAAGUGGGGGAUCGCAAGACCUCAUGCUCGUGGAGCGGCCGAUAUCUGAUUAGCUAGUUGGUAGGGUAAAAGCCUACCAAGGCAUCGAUCAGUAGCUGGUCUGAGAGGACGACCAGCCACACUGGAACUGAGACACGGUCCAGACUCCUACGGGAGGCAGCAGUGGGGAAUUUUGGACAAUGGGCGAAAGCCUGAUCCAGCAAUGCCGCGUGAGUGAAGAAGGCCUUCGGGUUGUAAAGCUCUUUUGUCAGGGAAGAAACGGUGAGAGCUAAUAUCUCUUGCUAAUGACGGUACCUGAAGAAUAAGCACCGGCUAACUACGUGCCAGCAGCCGCGGUAAUACGUAGGGUGCAAGCGUUAAUCGGAAUUACUGGGCGUAAAGCGUGCGCAGGCGGUUUUGUAAGUCUGAUGUGAAAUCCCCGGGCUCAACCUGGGAAUUGCAUUGGAGACUGCAAGGCUAGAAUCUGGCAGAGGGGGGUAGAAUUCCACGUGUAGCAGUGAAAUGCGUAGAUAUGUGGAGGAACACCGAUGGCGAAGGCAGCCCCCUGGGUCAAGAUUGACGCUCAUGCACGAAAGCGUGGGGAGCAAACAGGAUUAGAUACCCUGGUAGUCCACGCCCUAAACGAUGUCUACUAGUUGUCGGGUCUUAAUUGACUUGGUAACGCAGCUAACGCGUGAAGUAGACCGCCUGGGGAGUACGGUCGCAAGAUUAAAACUCAAAGGAAUUGACGGGGACCCGCACAAGCGGUGGAUGAUGUGGAUUAAUUCGAUGCAACGCGAAAAACCUUACCUACCCUUGACAUGGCUGGAAUCCCCGAGAGAUUGGGGAGUGCUCGAAAGAGAGCCAGUACACAGGUGCUGCAUGGCUGUCGUCAGCUCGUGUC